GAGGAGGUAGUGACGAAAAAUAACAAGACCGGUCUCUAUGAGGCCGGUUAUUGUAAUGGGUACAAUUUAAACCCGUUAACGAGGAUCUAUGAGAGGGCAAGUCUGGUGCCAGCAGCCGCGGUAAUUCCAGCUCUUAUAGUGUAUAUCGUUACUGCUGCGGUUAAAAAGCUCGUAGUUGGAUCUGCAUUCAAGCUCUUGGUCCACCAAUUUUGGUGCUGAACCAAGUUUAUUUUUGGCUUGAACAAUAAUUAAUGCUGGUUUUUUUUUGCUAUAGGUUACCUUUAUUGGUCGCCUAUAGUGGCUGGCAAGUUUACUUUGAAAAAAGUAAAGUGAUUAAAGCAGGCUAUUUAUGCCUGAAUAAUGGUGCAUGGAAUAAUGAAAUAGGAUCUCGAUUCUAUUUUGUUGGUUUUCUGAAUUGAGAUAAUGAUUAAGAGGGACAAACGGGGGCAUUCGUAUCGCUGCGCGAGAGGUGAAAUUCUGGGACCGUAGCGAGACGCCCAACUGCGAAAGCAUUUGCCAAGAAUGUUUUCAUUAAUCAAGAACGAAAGUCAGAGGUUCGAAGGUGAUCAGAUACCGCCCUAGUUCUGACCGUAAACGAUACCAACUAGCGUUCCGCCUUUGGCGUUUUUGCUUAGGCGGGCAGCUUCCCGGAAACGAAAGUUUUUCGGUUCCGGGGGGAGUAUGGUUGCAAAGCUGAAACUUAAAGAAAUUGACGGAAGGGCACCACCAGGAGUGGAGCCUGCGGCUUAAUUUGACCCAACACGGGAAAUCUCACCUGGCCCAGACACCGUAAGGAUUGACAGAUUGAUAGCUCUUUCAUGAUUUGGUGAUUGGUGGUGCAUGGUCGUUCUUAGUUGGUGGAGUGAUUUGUCUGGUUUAUUCCGAUAACGAGCGAGACUCUAGCCUACUAAAUAGUUAUGUGAUAUAUUUUCUGAAUAUCACAAAAUUAUACUUCUUAGAGGGACAAGCAGCGUUUAGCUGCACGAAAAAGAGCAAUAACAGGUCUGUGAUGCCCUUAGAUGUCC
RNAcentral lists this ribosomal RNA (1025 nucleotides) under Wellcomia compar. Its description in RNAcentral is "SSU rRNA". It matches the Rfam family "Eukaryotic small subunit ribosomal RNA", at positions 458 to 1482 of the family's 1831-position model. The record is from RNAcentral. Lineage: Eukaryota; Metazoa; Nematoda; Chromadorea; Rhabditida; Oxyuridae.